AUACGGAGGGGGCAAGCGUUACUGGGAAUCACUGGGCGUAAAGCGCGCGCAGGCGGUCUUUUAAGUUGGAUGUGGAAGCCUACAGCUCAACUAUAGAACUGCAUCCAAAACUAUUAGACUAGAGUCUGGGAGGGGAAGAUGGAAUUAGUUGUGUAGGGGUAAAAUCCGUAGAGAUAACUAGGAAUACCAAAAGCGAAGGCGAUCUUCUGGAACAGUACUGACGCUGAGGCGCGAAAGCGUGGGGAGCAAACAGGAUUAGAAACCCUAGUAGUCC
Molecule: ribosomal RNA, 274 nt
Filed under: uncultured bacterium
Lineage: Bacteria
Description: partial 16S ribosomal RNA
Rfam family: Bacterial small subunit ribosomal RNA
Source: RNAcentral